AUGCAUCAGUUACUAGUACUACCACGCUACUGCUGGCGCUCCCGAGCAAGACAGGGACAAAGCCAAGAGAGAGGCAUAAAGAGAAACCAACAAGACCACCCAGCGAGCCCGCCAAGGUUGUCAGAAGUCAAAGCCAACGUUUCUGCUGCUGGCGCUCCCGAGCAAUACAGGGAAGGACGGACUUUCAAGGUGUGCCCCAACCCUGAUGAGACCCAGCAUGCCCAUCUCGGCCGCGAACUUGGCGUGCAGCCCCAGCAGAUCAAAUUCUGGUUCAAGAACCGCCGUGUCCAGAUGAGGAGGUGUUUGGGGAUGACGGCAUGGCAGGCUUGGGACGAGCAGGUUGACAACCACUUAUCCGACUCGGAGAACGACGAGAUUCACUAA
This 384-nucleotide ribosomal RNA is filed under the name Triticum aestivum (bread wheat). RNAcentral's name for it is "partial small subunit ribosomal RNA". The record is from RNAcentral. Lineage: Eukaryota; Viridiplantae; Streptophyta; Magnoliopsida; Poales; Poaceae.